This 486-nucleotide ribosomal RNA is filed under the name uncultured bacterium. RNAcentral describes it as "bacterial SSU rRNA". It matches the Rfam family "Bacterial small subunit ribosomal RNA", at positions 28 to 526 of the family's 1533-position model. The record is from RNAcentral.
GAUGAACGCUGGCGGCGUGCUUAACACAUGCAAGUCGAACGGUGAAGCCAAGCUUGCUUGGUGGAUCAGUGGCGAACGGGUGAGUAACACGUGAGCAACCUGCCCUGGACUCUGGGAUAAGCGCUGGAAACGGUGUCUAAUACUGGAUAUGAAUCGCGGCCGCAUGGUCAGUGGUUGGAAAGAUUUUUCGGUCUGGGAUGGGCUCGCGGCCUAUCAGCUUGUUGGUGAGGUAAUGGCUCACCAAGGCGUCGACGGGUAGCCGGCCUGAGAGGGUGACCGGCCACACUGGGACUGAGACACGGCCCAGACUCCUACGGGAGGCAGCAGUGGGGAAUAUUGCACAAUGGGCGGAAGCCUGAUGCAGCAACGCCGCGUGAGGGAUGACGGCCUUCGGGUUGUAAACCUCUUUUAGCAAGGAAGAAGCGGAAGUGACGGUACUUGCAGAAAAAGCGCCGGCUAACUACGUGCCAGCAGCCGCCGUAACAC